CUCGAGAAGAGAAGCGUCGCUUAGUGCGCUGACAGCGCGGUUCAGCCCGUGGGGCUGGAGCCGAAUAGGAUUCACUGAAUCUGCGGCUUUCAUGAAGUCUCCCUACGAGGUCCUUCACUUUGCUCCUCAACGUGGAUUUCCCCCACCCCCUGCCAUUCUAGGCUCCCUCCCUCCGUCGCUGCCGGACUCCCUCCUCCGUCGCUGCCCACACGCGCACUCCUCUGUCCCGCGGUGGCCCCAGCGCCCAGCCCUCCAGCCAGAGGGAGCCAGUCACCAGACGGCAGCACCUGGCUGGAGAGGUUGGGCCGGCGGAGGGUGGGGAUCCGCGGGAAUCGGAGAGCCUGGAGCUGGAACAGAAGCUGGACCAACCGUGAGCAGAAGAAUGGAGUCUCCCAACAGCCUGCCGAGGCUGAUGUGAAAUUGGACCAUCUGCUUCCAGUUCGUCUGUUACCUCUUCUUUUUGUAUUUUCUUCCCUCGCCAUUCACAGAGGAGUGAAUUAUCAAAUCUUGCUCCGUUCCAAGAGAGGCGACCACGAUGAAGUGAACCCACCCUGUCCGCCACAAGGAAAAGCACAAAGAAGAAAUGACAAUGGCCAAGUUAACUGAAUCCAUGACGAAUGUCCUGGAAGGCGAUUCCAUGGACCAAGAUGUGGAGAGCCCGGUGGCCAUUCAUCAGCCAAAGUUGCCUAAGCAGGCCAGGGAUGACCUGCCAAGACAUAUCAGUCGAGACAGGACAAAAAGGAAAAUCCAGAGGUACGUGAGGAAGGAUGGGAAGUGUAACGUCCACCAUGGCAAUGUGAGGGAGACCUACCGAUACCUGACGGACAUCUUCACCACCCUCGUGGACCUCAAGUGGAGAUUCAACCUGUUGAUUUUCGUCAUGGUCUACACUGUGACAUGGCUCUUCUUUGGGAUGAUCUGGUGGCUAAUUGCAUACAUCCGGGGAGACAUGGACCACAUAGAGGACCCCUCAUGGACUCCCUGUGUCACCAACCUCAACGGGUUUGUCUCUGCUUUUUUGUUCUCAAUAGAGACAGAAACCACCAUCGGUUAUGGCUACCGGGUCAUCACAGACAAGUGCCCCGAGGGAAUUAUCCUCCUCUUAAUUCAGUCCGUGUUGGGGUCCAUUGUCAACGCAUUCAUGGUAGGAUGUAUGUUUGUGAAAAUAUCCCAACCUAAGAAGCGGGCAGAGACCCUGGUCUUUUCCACCCACGCAGUGAUCUCCAUGAGGGAUGGGAAACUCUGCCUGAUGUUUCGAGUAGGGGACCUGAGGAAUUCUCACAUCGUGGAGGCUUCCAUCCGAGCCAAGCUGAUCAAGUCCAAACAGACUUCAGAGGGGGAGUUCAUCCCCCUCAAUCAGACGGACAUCAACGUGGGGUACUACACUGGGGAUGACCGUCUCUUUCUAGUGUCGCCUUUGAUUAUUAGCCACGAGAUUAACCAACAGAGUCCCUUCUGGGAGAUCUCCAAAGCCCAGCUCCCUAAAGAGGAGCUGGAGAUUGUGGUCAUCCUGGAGGGAAUGGUGGAAGCCACAGGGAUGACGUGCCAAGCUCGAAGCUCCUACAUCACCAGUGAGAUCUUGUGGGGUUACCGCUUCACCCCCGUCCUAACGCUGGAAGAUGGGUUCUACGAAGUUGACUACAACAGCUUCCAUGAGACCUACGAGACCAGCACCCCGUCCCUUAGUGCCAAAGAGCUGGCCGAGCUGGCUAACAGGGCAGAGCUGCCCCUGAGUUGGUCCGUGUCCAGCAAACUGAACCAACAUGCAGAACUGGAGACAGAAGAGGAGGAGAAGAACCCGGAAGAACAAACGGAGAGGAAUGGUGACGUGGCAAACCUAGAGAAUGAAUCCAAAGUGUAGGCCCUGCUGGGCCAGCCUUUCCCUCCCCUCAGACACAACCCUUCCUUGUCUCUCACGUCCCUCUUUUCUGUUUCUAUCACUUUGAUCUUGAUUUAUUUAUAUUUAAUUUUGGCAUUUCCAGAAAACAAAUCUUCGAGGUGUAAAAUGCCUACCUGCCCUCAGAUGUUCAGAUGGACGAGCAGACAGGGAUUUGGUCGAGGGACAGGGUACCUGUAUUUGUGGCCCAAGCCUGGUCUCCACCCUCAGGAGAGACUUAUCCACUGACCCACUUAAUUGUCCAACAUAUGUCACUAAAAGGAGCUGUCAAGGGUUUUACCCAGUGUCACAGAGGCCACCUGCUUACCGUGGCCAUAGGUCACACAGAGUAGUCCCUUUGGUUUUACAGAGCCCAGUUCAUCUCACCUAGCACAAGGCAGGUGCUUGCCCACUCAGACACUGUGGGUGCAGGACCCAGAUAGCCAAGGAUAGACCACUGUACAUAGAUCUGCCCUAUGGAAUUAUUUUCUUUUGGCAAUUAGUAACAACACUCAGCAUGCACAACAGUACUGUGGAGCCGAAUUCCUAAUAAUGUACAUAGAUGUAUCCUUCAUGUAGCUUGAGAUAUAUAACUUUAGAAGUAAGAAGAAAAAAAAGACUCCUAAUGUACAGUAGGUGUUUCUAUUUUGUUAUCUGUCUCUUUUGAUUAUUUUGAUCCCCUUGACUGCCAGCCCUCUAAAUGCAUGGCCUUCGUUCCAGGUCCCAGGUUGACAGCUGCUGGGGUCCCGUUCUGUUCCCUUGUGAUCCUUCUGUUGACUCUAAUAAGCCAUAGGUCUGAGAACAGUCCAGAGGUCUCGCAGAUUGCAAGUCCCACCAUCCAAAACGCUGAACUACCGUGGCACAUUUACAAAAUGGAUGGUAUUUGUUUAUAGAUGACAAAGGUCUCUCUGACCAGCCUGGGAGGGACUACCAGGAACAGGGACUAGCGCAGCCCCCCACGUGACACUCGCCAUAAACCCUAGCCCUUUGGUGGACAGCAGUUUAAGAAAGCCUUCUGUAAAAUCAUUGACUGCUCUUCUAUGUAGCCAUGAGAAACUGCGGGCAUUUCAUGUGGGCUGUGACAAGUCAGCAGAAGGCGACUUGGGUGUGAAGCCAUGGCUUUCAGGAAGUCAUGCAGUGGGUGGCAAUAUUGCGUUACCAACUCCCUGCUCUCUGACGUCAUCGGGCAAGCCUUUCCCUGGGGCCUGUCCUUGCCAUUUCUUACUCUGGGUUCUUUUUAGUCUCCUCUCAUCAUUACUGUCGCUAUUGUUAUGAAAUGGCCAGAGUCUGGCAUACAAAGGUCCUUCCAGAGUACGAGAAUAUUCCACUACUUGCAAUCUAAUCCAAGGGCCUCUCAAUCAAAAGAGCACAAGCAACAACCAUCAAACCGUUCUCCCUAGCUUAUUUUAAUCUUCAGAGAAGGAGGGAAUGAACAAACAAAUGAAGGCAGGCAACAUGCAUAACAAUCUAAAUUCAAAAUGAAAUGGAAAGUGGACUGGAAAGACACUCUCGGAUGAGGCGUCGGGGGCAGGUGGAGAUUUUGCACCGUAACCGAUCUUUCUCAUUGAUUUUACACCUAUAAACUGUCCGUUCUCUAACAUCAUUGUACAUCAUAGAUACGCAUCGAAGGAUCUAAAUUUAUUUCAGCUCCUGCAGAUGUGCUCAGUUUGAGACUUUGCCCCACGGAGGUCAAAGAGGUCAAACUAGCUGCUCCCCAGUUCCCCUUUGCCACCCCGACCAGACUGUGCAGGGCUUUGCUGUAAUCUGGGCUCCUUGUCUACAAGAGACAGGAAUUAUGGGAAGUGGUUUCUCCAUUCAGCAUUUGGGCUGCCCCUCUCCGUCUGCAGAGAUCUUGCUACCCAAACAACUAUUUCUUGCCUCUGACUCUGGAAAACAAAGCUAUUGGCUGCAGCCCUUCCCCGCCUGCCAGCAUUUCCCUUCGGCAUUGGUUAUUGAUCAAUCAAGUCAUGCAUUCUCUCUGCACACUCUAAGCUGGAGAUGGUGGAGGAGGGAGUCUGUUUCCCAAGAGGCCUGGCCUUAUCUUAGCCUUAGGAAAGAUGCCCUGCUUUGGGGCACCGGCCUGCAGCAGCCCAGGGCAGGGCCUGUGUAGCACAAAGAAAGGUGGGGAAAGCUGCCAAAUGUCUGCUGACUUAGCUCUUGAAGACUCAUUGGCCUUUUUAAAUCUAUGACUGAAGUCUGAAGGGCAAAAUCUCCCCUACUGAUGGGCUGAAAGAGCAGCUUUGAAGUUGCCGGCUUCUCGCCUGCUCUUCAGGACACCUGGACAAUAGGCCUGUGCACAGCCAUGCUGUGACCUCAGCAGGACACUCUAAUGGGAGGUCUCUCUCUGCCUCUCAGGGUCUUGAUGUCACUGUGAUUGGUGGCGCAAGAGGAGCAAAAUCCUGUGUGUGACGUGAGCUCAGAAUCCUUAAAGACGGGAGCUCCUGAAGGACCUUUUAUUAGAAUGUCCUUAUCAAACGUGUCUAUUUUUCUACACUCACCAAGAAAACGGUUUGACAGUGUAUUUUGUGUCUACUGUUAAAAUUUGAAAGAAGGUCAUUACGACUGAAUUUUCUAAGCAAGUAGUCAAUGGGGUUUUUCAUUAAGCUAAUACAACAAAAGGGACCCCCAAUGCCUCCCCUUUCUAAAGUCCACGAUCCCCAGUCCCUCUCUCCGCCAGUAGAUCAAGUGCUAUGAAAAUAUACCAGGAACUAAGCGAUCCACAACCAAUAGAGAGCGCUCUCACUCUCUCUUUCUCUCUCCCUCCCUCCUCCCCUCCGAUAGUUUGGACUAAUUGGUUGGUGUCUCCAAGUCAUUAUUUCCCCAUAAAGCACAGUGAGAUCCAUGGUCCAGAUAAGACCCUGGAACUCAAGGGGGACAUUUGUCACAAUUGACCCCAAUCCAACAGAGCAAAAGAGCUCCCUGAGGUUCGUCUGGAAGGGAGGGGUUGAGGAGAUCCCCGCUGUCCUCCUCUACUGACCCCCCCUACCAUUAUCUUCCUAGGGAGAGUCCCUAUUCAUUUACAGAUUGACUUUAUGUAAUCAAUACAGCUGUUUGCUUCUGGCAGCCCCCUGGGCACAUGGCUAACACAUGCUAACACACGCUAACACAUUAGAAUCCGUUCAUCCUUUUCAGGUCCUUCUGAACAUCGUGUUAGGGUAUGACUGUGACUCUAGCCAUGAGGGGGAACCCCUCUUCCUCUACUCCCUUCCUCUUUGUCCCCCUGUUUUGUUCUCUCUCUAUUCCAGAUCUAUUGAUUUCAUUUAGUACCUAACUUUCCCAGAACGUCGACCUGUUUCCUAAGCACAACUUUUCUCUUACAGGUUUAAUCAACAUAGGACUCUGACAUGCCUGGGUUUAUUUUUUUUCAUUAUACUUUAAUUGAAAUUUAUUUGUGGCUCCGUUUUAAAGCCCAGAUGGUCACAGUUUGCUUUUCUGCGUGAAUGUAAGAGGGCACCUUUGGAGUAUUUGGAGACGGGCUGACCAAGGUGUGCCGCAGGGAGAGCAAGGAAAACACACCAGAUCCUUUAGCUGAGAGACACAUGAAAACAGACAGACCACUCCCUACCCAGACAACUGGCCCAGAGUAGGCUGUUUCUUCCCUGUCUCUAGAAAUGCUCUAAACAACCCAGAAGCCAAGAAGGUGGCUCCAAAUGAAAUGGCCCCCAUUCAUGACCAGCUAAGAUGUCUCGUUCCUACGACUUCAGUUCAGCGGAUAGCUGUAGAGUUGUAAAACAUAAACCACAUUGACAGGUUGAUUGACAUUACACAACAGCUGUAAUAUCAUCUUGAGUUAGACUUUAUAUCCAGCCUGUAUCUAAGAAAAUGUCACCUUGCAAUCCAGAGUGAAACCUUCCUCUUCCCGAUAUGUCUGCCUUCAGUGUCUCAGAGGGGACUUGUGGUUCAAAAUGUCAUGCAGAAGUCAAGACUGUCCGAAGGUUGCUAGGGGACUUGGACAAUGUGCACAACAAUCUCGACACUGCAUACCUGACAAUAACACAGUAUCUUCCCUGACGCUGGCAGUGAGUGAGAAACACUCCCACAAGUGCCUCCUGGAACGCCAACCCACGGAGGGGUGACGCUGGACUCCUAGUGUGGAUUGAGAAGUGUUUCUUCUAAUUGCAUCCUCUGAAAGAGAUUACAGAGAAUUGCUAUAUUUCCCUCCUUAACUGCUUGGAAGACUCCACCAGAAUGAGCCCAUCUGGACCUAGUGCUUUCUGGCUGGAAAGGUUGUGAAUAAUUUACUUAAAGUCGGGGCUGGAGAGAGGACUCGGCGGUUAAGCUUGCUUAGUGCUCUGCAGAGGGCCUGGGUUUAGUUCCCAGGGCAUAUACGGUGGUCCACAGUGCCAAGGGACUUGGCACCUUCUACUGGCUUCCACGGGCUACCGCAUGUGUGUGGUGCGCAUAAAGCCAUGCAGGCAUUCACGCUCGUACACAUAAAUAAAAAUAAACUAAGUUUUAAAGUUUCUAAU
Myodes glareolus (Bank vole) is the source of this 6345-nucleotide RNA transcript. It is a transcript of the gene named potassium inwardly rectifying channel subfamily J member 6, with no coding region annotated. NCBI's taxonomy places the organism in Eukaryota, Metazoa, Chordata, Mammalia, Rodentia, Cricetidae. The record is from RefSeq and is a predicted model, not a curated record.